RNAcentral lists this ribosomal RNA (253 nucleotides) under uncultured bacterium. RNAcentral describes it as "partial 16S ribosomal RNA". It matches the Rfam family "Bacterial small subunit ribosomal RNA", at positions 524 to 776 of the family's 1533-position model. The record is from RNAcentral.
UACAGAGGGGGUAAGCGUUGUUCGGAAUUACUGGGCGUAAAGCGUGCGCAGGCGGUUUUGUAAGCCAGAUGUGAAAUCCCCGGGCUUAACCUGGGAAUGGCAUUUGGGACUGCAAGGCUUGAGUGUGGCAGAGGAGACUGGAAUUCCUGGUGUAGCAGUGAAAUGCGUAGAUAUCAGGAGGAACACCGAUGGCGAAGGCAGGUCUCUGGGCUAACACUGACGCUCAUGCACGAAAGCGUGGGGAGCAAACAGG